Small nucleolar RNA from Tupaia belangeri (northern tree shrew), 77 nucleotides. Ensembl annotates it as small nucleolar RNA, C/D box 19C. Lineage: Eukaryota; Metazoa; Chordata; Mammalia; Scandentia; Tupaiidae. The record is from Ensembl.
AAGAAAUGAUGCUAACUAAGAUUGGUCUUAGUGUUGAAGUGAAGACGCUCAGAUCCAACUCUGAUCUUGCUUUAAGU